UUCGCAAUGCCCGAAAGGGUGACGAAGCGACGCCGCGUGUGGGAAGAAGGCCUUCGGGCUGUAAACCACUGUCGGGAGUUAGGAAAUGUAGGGGUGUUAAUAGUAUCCUUACUUGACUAAGGCUCCGGAGGAAGCCACGGCUAACUCUGUGCCAGCAGCCGCGGUAAUACAGAGGCGGCAAGCGUUGUUCGGAAUUAUUGGGCGUAAAGAGCACGUAGGCGGCCUUGCAAGUCAGUUGUGAAAGCCUUCUGCUUAACGGAAGAACAGCAGCUGAUACUGCAAGGCUAGAGUGCGGAAGGGGAGAGUGGAACUUCUGGUGGAGCGGUGAAAUGCGUAGAUAUCAGAAGGAACACCGGCGGCGAAGGCGACUCUCUGGUCCGUAACUGACGCUGAGCGUGCGAAAGCUAGGGGAGCAAACGGGAUUAGAUACCCCGGUAGUCCUAGCCGUAAACGAUGGGCACUAAGUAGAGGGGUUUU
Molecule: ribosomal RNA, 477 nt
Filed under: Candidatus Brocadia fulgida
Lineage: Bacteria; Pseudomonadati; Planctomycetota; Candidatus Brocadiia; Candidatus Brocadiales; Candidatus Brocadiaceae
Description: bacterial SSU rRNA
Rfam family: Bacterial small subunit ribosomal RNA
Source: RNAcentral